This 478-nucleotide ribosomal RNA is filed under the name uncultured bacterium. RNAcentral describes it as "partial 16S ribosomal RNA". It matches the Rfam family "Bacterial small subunit ribosomal RNA", at positions 28 to 507 of the family's 1533-position model. The record is from RNAcentral.
GACGAACGCUGGCGGCGUGCUUAACACAUGCAAGUCGAACGGGCUGCCUGGUUUUCGGAUCGGGUGGUGAGUGGCGAACGGGUGAGUAACACGUGAGUAACCUGCCUCUCUCUUUGGGAUAACGUCGGGAAAUCGGCGCUAAUACCGGGUAUUCUGGCUUCCUCGCAUGGGGUUGUUGGGAAAGGUUUUUUCUGGUGGGGGAUGGGCUCGCGGCCUAUCAGCUUGUUGGUGGGGUGAUGGCCUACCAAGGCGGUGACGGGUAGCCGGCCUGAGAGGGUGUCCGGCCACACUGGGACUGAGACACGGCCCAGACUCCUACGGGAGGCAGCAGUGGGGAAUAUUGCACAAUGGGCGGAAGCCUGAUGCAGCGACGCCGCGUGGGGGAUGACGGCCUUCGGGUUGUAAACCUCUUUCAGUGCAGAACAAGGCUCUUUGUGGGUUGAGGGUAUGCGCAGAAGAAGCGCCGGCUAACUACGUG